AUUGAACGCUGGCGGCAUGCCUUACACAUGCAAGUCGAACGGCAGCACGGGAGCAAUCCUGGUGGCGAGUGGCGAACGGGUGAGUAAUAUAUCGGAACGUGCCCAGUCGUGGGGGAUAACGUAGCGAAAGCUACGCUAAUACCGCAUACGAUCUAUGGAUGAAAGCGGGGGAUCGCAAGACCUCGCGCGAUUGGAGCGGCCGAUAUCAGAUUAGGUAGUUGGUGAGGUAAAGGCUCACCAAGCCGACGAUCUGUAGCUGGUCUGAGAGGACGACCAGCCACACUGGGACUGAGACACGGCCCAGACUCCUACGGGAGGCAGCAGUGGGGAAUUUUGGACGAUGGGCGCAAGCCUGAUCCAGCAAUGCCGCGUGCAGGAUGAAGGCCUUCGGGUUGUAAACUGCUUUUGUACGGAACGAAACGGUGAGCUCUAAUACAGUUUGCUAAUGACGGUACCGUAAGAAUAAGCACCGGCUAACUACGUG
This 484-nucleotide ribosomal RNA is filed under the name uncultured bacterium. RNAcentral's name for it is "bacterial SSU rRNA". It matches the Rfam family "Bacterial small subunit ribosomal RNA", at positions 30 to 507 of the family's 1533-position model. The record is from RNAcentral.